RNAcentral lists this ribosomal RNA (305 nucleotides) under uncultured bacterium. RNAcentral's name for it is "bacterial SSU rRNA". It matches the Rfam family "Bacterial small subunit ribosomal RNA", at positions 332 to 631 of the family's 1533-position model. The record is from RNAcentral.
UUAACCUACGGGAGGCAGCAGUAGGGAAUUUUCGGCAAUGGGGGGGAACCCUGACCGAGCAACGCCGCGUGAAGGAAGAAGGAAUUCGUUCUGUAAACUUCUGUUAUAAAGGAAGAAAGACGGAUGGAGGAAAUGACAUCCGAGUGAUGGUACUUUAUGAGAAAGCCACGGCUAACUACGUGCCACCAGCCGCGGUAAUACGUAGGUGGCAAGCGUUAUCCGGAAUUAUUGGGCGUAAAGAGGGAGCAGGCGGCAGCAAAGGUCUGUGGUGAAAGACUGAAGCUUAACUUCAGUAAGCCAUAGAA